RNAcentral lists this ribosomal RNA (873 nucleotides) under Triticum aestivum (bread wheat). RNAcentral describes it as "partial small subunit ribosomal RNA". Lineage: Eukaryota; Viridiplantae; Streptophyta; Magnoliopsida; Poales; Poaceae. The record is from RNAcentral.
AUGGAGGGCAAGGAGGAGGACGUGCGUCUGGGCGCCAACCGGUACUCGGAGCGGCAGCCGAUCGGAACGGCAGCGCAGGGCGCGGACGACAAGGACUACAAGGAGCCGCCGCCGGCGCCGCUGUUCGAGGCGGAGGAGCUGACGUCGUGGUCCUUCUACCGCGCGGGGAUCGCCGAGUUCCUGGCCACCUUCCUGUUCCUGUACAUCAGCGUGCUCACGGUGAUGGGCGUGGUGGGCAACCCCUCCGGCUCCAAGUGCGGCACCGUGGGCAUCCAGGGCAUCGCCUGGAGCUUCGGCGGCAUGAUCUUCGUGCUCGUCUACUGCACCGCCGGCAUCUCCGGCGGCCACAUCAACCCCGCCGUCACCUUCGGGCUGUUCCUGGCCAGGAAGCUGUCGCUCACCCGGGCCGUGUUCUACAUGGUGAUGCAGUGCCUGGGGGCCAUCUGCGGCGCCGGGGUGGUGAAGGGGUUCCAGACCACGCUGUACAUGGGCAACGGCGGCGGCGCCAACUCGGUGGCGCCGGGGUACACCAAGGGCGACGGCCUGGGGGCGGAGAUCGUGGGGACCUUCGUGCUCGUGUACACCGUCUUCUCCGCCACCGACGCCAAGCGCAGCGCCAGAGACUCCCACGUCCCCAUCCUGGCGCCGCUGCCGAUCGGGUUCGCGGUGUUCCUGGUGCACCUGGCGACGAUCCCCAUCACCGGCACCGGCAUCAACCCGGCGCGCUCCCUCGGCGCCGCCAUCAUCUACAACAAGAAGCAGUCGUGGGACGACCACUGGAUCUUCUGGGUGGGCCCGUUCACCGGCGCGGCGCUGGCGGCCAUCUACCACGUGGUGGUGAUCAGGGCCAUCCCCUUCAAGAGCCGCGGCUAG